RNAcentral lists this ribosomal RNA (499 nucleotides) under uncultured bacterium. Its description in RNAcentral is "bacterial SSU rRNA". It matches the Rfam family "Bacterial small subunit ribosomal RNA", at positions 899 to 1397 of the family's 1533-position model. The record is from RNAcentral.
ACUCAAAUGAAUUGACGGGGGCCCGCACAAGCGGUGGAGCAUGUGGUUUAAUUCGACGCAACGCGAAAAACCUUACCUGGGUUUGACAUGCCGGGAAUCCUGAUGAAAGUUAGGAGUGCCCUUCGGGGAACCCGGACACAGGUGCUGCAUGGCUGUCGUCAGCUCGUGCCGUGAGGUGUUAGGUUAAGUCCUGCAACGAGCGCAACCCUCACCCUUAGUUGCCAUCAUUAAGUUGGGCACCCUAAGGGAACUGCCGCAGUUAAUGCGGAGGAAGGUGGGGAUGACGUCAAGUCCUCAUGGCCCUUAUGUCCAGGGCUACACACGUGCUACAAUGGGCGGAACAAAGGGUCGCGAACCCGUGAGGGGGAGCUAAUCCCACAAAUCCGUUCUUAGUUCGGAUUGGAGUCUGAAACUCGACUCCAUGAAGUUGGAAUCGCUAGUAAUCGCGGAUCAGCACGCCGCGGUGAAUACGUUCCCGGGCCUUGUACACACCGCCCGU